RNAcentral lists this long non-coding RNA (738 nucleotides) under Naja naja (Indian cobra). Its description in RNAcentral is "lncRNA (ENSNNAG00000006551.1)". The record is from RNAcentral. Lineage: Eukaryota; Metazoa; Chordata; Lepidosauria; Squamata; Elapidae.
GUCCUUCCCAUGAAAUCAUCCCGUUUUGCUGAUCUCUCUGCCUUGACCUAGUCAAGAAAGACUACAAAAUCAUCUGCCACGAACGCUUUUAUUUAGCGUGGUGUUUUUAUUCGAGAGUUGUUUUAUUUAUGAUUAUGUUUAGAUAGAAUCCCUGCCUUCAAGCCGGAAGGUAGACUCAACUGUGUUGGUGGCCUUUUCAAACUCUGUAAUUCUCUGAUCCCAGCCGAGCUAUCUUCUUGAAGUGCGCAAGUGAAUUAUGUAACGGACAGACUCACAAUGUGAGCCCAACUGUGAGGCACGGUACAUGGAAUUGGCAGCCAGGGGUGAGAUUCUACCUGGUCACACCGGUUCUAUAGAACCGGUUGUUAUGAUUCUGCUCAGUUUGGAGAACCGGCAAAUCGUGCCACUGGCUGGCCCCUCCCACUCACUCCUUACCUGGCAUGCGCGCCAUCCAACUUGCCUGCGUUGUGCCUUCGCCUAAUUUUUGGUAAGUUGCUAUUUUUCCUUUUUUGUCCCCCGACCAUCAGCUGUUCCGACUAUCAGCUGUGCUGGGAGAUUUAGAUUGGCUAGAAAGCAGGUCAUCAUUUGAUUUCUUGCUUUCUAGAUAAUCUGAAAGCAGAGCUGAACCUUCCUAGCGUCUAUUUUUCGGUGCAGACUCAGGCAGCAGAUAGCAGAAUGGUAGUGAAUCUGUGAUUCUGUGAGCAACUCAAUCUGCCUGCCUGCUUUGCCUGAUUUUGG